GGUUUUCUUUGGUCAUUGUUUAGAGUCUCGAGUCCUGAUCAUAUCUUUCUUCCGAUUCCAAACUGGGAGCACAAGGAGAACCCUGAGACUGAAGAAGAUGUUGGGCCAGUUGUUCAGCACAUCUAUGAGCUGAGAAACAAUGGUCCAAGUUCAUUCAGCAAGGCAAUGCUCCAUCUUCAGUGGCCUUACAAAUAUAAUAAUAACACUCUGUUGUAUAUCCUUCAUUAUGAUAUUGAUGGACCAAUGAACUGCACUUCAGAUAUGGAGAUCAACCCUUUGAGAAUUAAGAUCUCAUCUUUGCAAACAACUGAAAAGAAUGACACGGUUGCUGGGCAAGGUGAGCGGGACCAUCUCAUCACUAAGCGGGAUCUUGCCCUCAGUGAAGGAGAUAUUCACACUUUGGGUUGUGGAGUUGCUCAGUGCUUGAAGAUUGUCUG
RNAcentral lists this small RNA (437 nucleotides) under Pan troglodytes (chimpanzee). Its description in RNAcentral is "retained intron". Lineage: Eukaryota; Metazoa; Chordata; Mammalia; Primates; Hominidae. The record is from RNAcentral.